Molecule: transfer-messenger RNA, 353 nt
Filed under: Clostridiales bacterium
Lineage: Bacteria; Bacillati; Bacillota; Clostridia; Eubacteriales
Also listed under: 3 other names
Rfam family: transfer-messenger RNA
About the family: Bacterial tmRNA, also known as 10Sa RNA or SsrA, is named for its dual tRNA and mRNA-like properties.
Source: RNAcentral
GGGGGCGUAACGGUUUCGACGGGGACGCGUGACGCCGGGUAAGCGAGCCGCAGGCGCCGGAACUGCGAUAAAAGCCGGCAAAAAAAAUAAACGCGAACAAAAACGAAGUCGCACUCGCAGCGUAACGCUGCGACGUUUCGCCCACCUUGCCCACCGGGUGGGGCCGAAACGCCAUUAGGUGGGGCCCUGUUAGGGGGAAAGCUUUGACCCUUUAACAGCCAACGAUGAAGCUACCAAACCCGGGACCCUUUGGGCAGGGGCCCGGGCAAGGGAAUGGAAAAUGCCCAAUGCGCUCGGAGAAAGCCUGGUGGGACGGUUUUCGGACAGGGGUUCGACUCCCCUCGCCUCCACCA